GAUGAACGCUGGCGGCGUGCCUAAUACAUGCAAGUCGAGCGAACAGAUGAGGAGCUUGCUCGGCGGACGUUAGCGGCGGACGGGAGAGUAACACGUGGAUAACGUACCUAUAAUAGGGGUAUAACUUCGAAAAACCGGCUCUAAUACCGGAGAAGAUAUUGAAGCGCAGGGUGCAAUAGUAAAAUACGGUGGUGCGGUCACGUAUAGAUGGAUCCGCGCCGCAUUAGCUAGUUGGUAAGGUAACGGCUUACGAAGGGUACGAUGCGUAGCCGACCUGAGAGGGUGAUCGCCCACACUGGAACGGAGCCACGGUCCAGACUCCUACGGUAGGCAGCAGUAGGGAAUCUUCCGCAACGGGCGAGAGCAUGACGGAGCAACGGCGCGUCAGUGAUGACGGUCUUCGGAUCGUAAAACUCUGUUAUUAGUGAAGAACAACUGUGGAAGUAACUAUGCACGGAUUGACGGUACCUAAUCAGAAAGCAACGGCUAACUACGUG
RNAcentral lists this ribosomal RNA (497 nucleotides) under uncultured bacterium. RNAcentral's name for it is "partial 16S ribosomal RNA". It matches the Rfam family "Bacterial small subunit ribosomal RNA", at positions 28 to 507 of the family's 1533-position model. The record is from RNAcentral.